GACGAACGCUGGCGGCGUGCCUAAUACAUGCAAGUAGAACGCUGAAGGAGGAGCUUGCUCUUCUGGAUGAGUUGCGAACGGGUGAGUAACGCGUAGGUAACCUGCCUGGUAGCGGGGGAUAACUAUUGGAAACGAUAGCUAAUACCGCAUAAGAGUAGAUGUUGCAUGAUAUUUGCUUAAAAGGUGCAAUUGCAUCACUACCAGAUGGACCUGCGUUGUAUUAGCUAGUUGGUGGGGUAACGGCUCACCAAGGCGACGAUACAUAGCCGACCUGAGAGGGUGAUCGGCCACACUGGGACUGAGACACGGCCCAGACUCCUACGGGAGGCAGCAGUAGGGAAUCUUCGGCAAUGGACGGAAGUCUGACCGAGCAACGCCGCGUGAGUGAAGAAGGUUUUCGGAUCGUAAAGCUCUGUUGUAAGAGAAGAACGAGUGUGAGAGUGGAAAGUUCACACUGUGACGGUAUCUUACCAGAAAGGGACGGCUAACUACGUG
RNAcentral lists this ribosomal RNA (495 nucleotides) under uncultured bacterium. RNAcentral's name for it is "partial 16S ribosomal RNA". It matches the Rfam family "Bacterial small subunit ribosomal RNA", at positions 28 to 507 of the family's 1533-position model. The record is from RNAcentral.